GCCCCCGUAGCUCAGCUGGAUAGAGCGCACCCCUCCUAAGGGUGAAGUCACACGUUCGAAUCGUGUCGGGGGCGCCA
RNAcentral lists this transfer RNA (77 nucleotides) under Sedimenticola selenatireducens. RNAcentral's name for it is "tRNA-Arg". It matches the Rfam family "tRNA". Rfam says of the family: Transfer RNA (tRNA) molecules are approximately 80 nucleotides in length. The record is from RNAcentral. RNAcentral also lists the same sequence under 5 other names. Lineage: Bacteria; Pseudomonadati; Pseudomonadota; Gammaproteobacteria; Chromatiales; Sedimenticolaceae.